GAUGAAGAACGUAGCGAAGUGCGAUAAGUAAUGUGAAUUGCAGAAUUCCGUGAAUCAUCGAAUCUUUGAACGCAAAUUGCACUUUCUGGUAUUCCGGAGAGUAUGCCUGUUUGAGGGUCAGUGUAAUAAAAAUAAAUCGUGGUUACCACUUUUCGUGGUGACGCUUCGGAAUUGAGUCGUCUUACCUUCGGUUAAGUGACUUAAAAUUUUUUCAUACGAUUUCGAAACGUAUUUAAUGUAUUAUGUAUGUUCACGAAUAUCGAAUGUUUAUUAGGUGCGGUCAUUUUCAUGAAUUCGCGUCUAUAAUUUUUUUUUUUUGACCUCAAAUCAGGUAAGAAUACCCGCUGAACUUAAGCAUAUCAAUAAGCGGAGGA
Molecule: unclassified non-coding RNA, 374 nt
Filed under: soil metagenome
Description: partial contains 5.8S ribosomal RNA, internal transcribed spacer 2, and large subunit ribosomal RNA
Rfam family: 5.8S ribosomal RNA (bases 1-120)
Source: RNAcentral